RNAcentral lists this ribosomal RNA (406 nucleotides) under uncultured bacterium. RNAcentral's name for it is "partial 16S ribosomal RNA". It matches the Rfam family "Bacterial small subunit ribosomal RNA", at positions 30 to 526 of the family's 1533-position model. The record is from RNAcentral.
AUUGAACGCUGGCGGCAGGCCUAACACAUGCAAUUCGAACGAGUGGCGGACGGGUGAGUAAUGUCUGGGAAACUGCCCGAUGGAGGGGGAUAACUACUGGAAACGGUAGCUAAUACCGCCUACCAUCGGAUGUGCCCAGAUGGGAUUAGCUAGUAGGUUGGGUAACGGCUCACCUAGGCGACGAUCCCUAGCUGGUCUGAGAGGCUUACUCGACAUAAUGGAACUGAGACACGUUCCAGAAUCCUACGGGAGGCAGCAGUGGGGAAUAUUGCACAAGGGGCGCAAGCCUGAGGCAGCCAUGCCGCGUGUAUGAAGAAGGAUGUCGGGUUGUAAAGUACUGUCAGCGAGGAGGCGUUACGCGCAGAAGAAGCACCGGCUAACUACGUGCCAGCAGCCGCGGUAAUUC